Molecule: ribosomal RNA, 914 nt
Filed under: uncultured bacterium
Lineage: Bacteria
Description: bacterial SSU rRNA
Rfam family: Bacterial small subunit ribosomal RNA
Source: RNAcentral
AAUCAACGCUGGCGGCGUGCCUCAGACAUGCAAGUCGAACGCGAAAGUUCCCUUCGGGGAGCGAGUAGAGUGGCGCACGGGUGAGUAACACGUAGGUAAUCUACCUUCGGAUGGGGAAUAACAACCGGAAACGGUUGCUAAUACCGCAUAAUGCAGCGGCACCUAAUGGUGACAGUUGUUAAAGCGGGGGAUCGUAAGACCUCGCGUCUGAAGAGGAGCCUGCGGCAGAUUAGCUAGUUGGUAAGGUAACGGCUUACCAAGGCGAUGAUCUGUAGCCGGCCUGAGAGGGCGGUCGGCCACACUGACACUGACAUACGGGUCAGACUCCUACGGGAGGCAGCAGUCGGGAAUUUUGGGCAAUGGGCGAAAGCCUGACCCAGCAACGCCGCGUGAAGGAUGAAAUCCUUCGGGAUGUAAACUUCGCAAGAACGGGAAGAAUAAGUAAGGGUCAAUAUCCCUUACGAUGACGGUACUGUUUGUAAGCUCCGGCUAACUCCGUGCCAGCAGCCGCGGUAAUACGGGGGGAGCAAGCGUUGUUCGGAUUUACUGGGCGUAAAGGGCGCGUAGGCGGCCACCGCAAGUCGAUUGUGAAAUCUCCGGGCUUAACCCGGAAAGGUCAACCGAUACUGCGGGGCUAGAGUGCAGAAGGGGCAACUGGAAUUCUCGGUGUAGCGGUGAAAUGCGUAGAUAUCGAGAGGAACACCUGCGGCGAAGGCGGGUUGCUGGGCUGACACUGACGCUGAGGCGCGAAAGCUAGGGGAGCGAACGGGAUUAGAUACCCCGGUAGUCCUAGCCUUAAACGAUGAAUGCUUGGUGUCUGGGGUUAUAUAGUCCCCGGGUGCCGUCGCUAACGCUUUAAGCAUUCCGCCUGGGGAGUACGGUCGCAAGACUGAAACUCAAGGAAUUGACGGGGA